RNAcentral lists this ribosomal RNA (440 nucleotides) under uncultured bacterium. Its description in RNAcentral is "partial 16S ribosomal RNA". It matches the Rfam family "Bacterial small subunit ribosomal RNA", at positions 338 to 795 of the family's 1533-position model. The record is from RNAcentral.
CCUACGGGAGGCAGCAGUGGGGAAUAUUGCACAAUGGGGGAAACCCUGAUGCAGCGACGCCGCGUGAGUGAGGAAGUAUUUCGGUAUGUAAAGCUCUAUCAGCAGGGAAGAAAAUGACGGUACCUGACUAAGAAGCCCCGGCUAACUACGUGCCAGCAGCCGCGGUAAUACGUAGGGGGCAAGCGUUAUCCGGAUUUACUGGGUGUAAAGGGAGCGUAGACGGCUAAUCAAGUCAGAAGUGAAAUCCCGGGGCUUAACCCCGGAACUGCUUUGGAAACUGUGCGGCUGGAGUGCAGGAGGGGUAAGCGGAAUUCCUAGUGUAGCGGUGAAAUGCGUAGAUAUUAGGAGGAACAUCAGGGGCGAAGGCGACUUACUGGACUGUAACUGACACUGAGGCACGAAAGCGUGGGGAGCAAACAGGAUUAGAUACCCUGGUAGUC